Molecule: non-coding RNA, 73 nt
Organism: Ameiurus melas (black bullhead)
Lineage: Eukaryota; Metazoa; Chordata; Actinopteri; Siluriformes; Ictaluridae
Source: the annotation of a GenBank genome assembly
GGCGCGGUGGCUUAGUGGUUAGCGUGUUCGCCUCACACCUCUAGGGUCUGGGGUUCGAGUCCUGCCCAGGCCG